RNAcentral lists this ribosomal RNA (51 nucleotides) under Sexangularia sp. CB-2014. RNAcentral describes it as "partial Eukaryotic small subunit ribosomal RNA". The record is from RNAcentral. Lineage: Eukaryota; Tubulinea; Elardia; Arcellinida.
CUAAGGCCGACGCUCCGGCCGACGAGGCGUCUGCCGCACCCGUCGCCGUCG